UUGUGCGGGGGUGGCCUAAUACAUGCAAGUCGAGCGGCAGCGGAAAGUAGCUUGCUACUUUGCCGGCGAGCGGCGGACGGGUGAGUAAUGUCUGGGAAACUGCCUGAUGGAGGGGGAUAACUACUGGAAACGGUAGCUAAUACCGCAUAACGUCGCAAGACCAAAGAGGGGGACCUUCGGGCCUCUUGCCAUCAGAUGUGCCCAGAUGGGAUUAGCUAGUAGGUGGGGUAAUGGCUCACCUAGGCGACGAUCCCUAGCUGGUCUGAGAGGAUGACCAGCCACACUGGAACUGAGACACGGUCCAGACUCCUACGGGAGGCAGCAGUGGGGAAUAUUGCACAAUGGGCGCAAGCCUGAUGCAGCCAUGCCGCGUGUAUGAAGAAGGCCUUCGGGUUGUAAAGUACUUUCAGCGAGGAGGAAGGCAUUGUGGUUAAUAACCGCAGUGAUUGACGUUACUCGCAGAAGAAGCACCGGCUAACUCCGUGCCAGCAGCCGCGGUAAUACGGAGGGUGCAAGCGUUAAUCGGAAUUACUGGGCGUAAAGCGCACGCAGGCGGUUUGUUAAGUCAGAUGUGAAAUCCCCGGGCUCAACC
RNAcentral lists this ribosomal RNA (592 nucleotides) under bacterium VF30(2010). Its description in RNAcentral is "bacterial SSU rRNA". It matches the Rfam family "Bacterial small subunit ribosomal RNA", at positions 29 to 614 of the family's 1533-position model. The record is from RNAcentral.